UAAAGUAAAAAUCUAAUUUGUCAACACAUAUUUUGUACAACACAUUGUCAACAAAUAAUGGAUAAAUUAAUGAUAUUGGAAGCUUAAAAAAUUUGGAAUUAGGAAUUCAUUUAUAUUACCAAAAAUGAAAGAAAUGAUAACAAAGUUAUAGACAAACUAUAGAUACCUACGUGUUUCGUGUGUUAUUAUCGGAAAUUAAAAACUCAAUCGCUAUAAUUUUUUCCUAUCACUGUAAAUUUAUUUGUGAAUUUUAAUUUUCAAAUGUUACGUAACGUAAUUAGGUAGGUACGAUCGUCAAGCACCCCACGUCCCCACCAUUUUCCGGUCGUAGUCGCGAUAGCUGACGUUUGUUUUGUUAUUUUUUCUCUCCUCUCUGUCUGUAGCCAAACACACACAGAACCACUAACACGUUUUUUGUUGCGUACGUUUUUCUUUCGUCUUUUUAUUAUUAUUUUCUCGUGAAGUUACCACAAAAAAAUGGAGUACCUAGUCACUCGGAAACAUUUUCCCGUGGCGGUGAACGCUGCCGGGCAAGCCAAGGUGGUCGGUCACGACAGACAUCCCGAAUCCAUUGUAAACAACGAAAAGGUGCCAGUAUAGCAAGCUACACAAAAUUAGCCAAAUUAAUAUCAUAUAAAAAAAACAUAAACUGUUUACCUAUAUAAAGUAAAAAACAUUCAAUUUGGAUUCAAAAUACAAUAGAAAAUAUAAAAAUACAUGGAUUAAAAGGAACUAGAUGUCACUGUUAAAGGUGUCAAUGUAGAAUACAACACAACCUUGUACUGUAAUAUGCGUCCAAACCAAUAAAAACAGUUGAUUGGAAAUUCCAAAAAAAUUUUAAAAUGUUGGAUUCAAAUACUAAAGUAUACUGAAGCAUGCAAUACACUAGUAGUGGAACAAAUUGUCUCCAUUAAAUGUUUAUGUAAGUAAUUCAUAAGUGUUAGAAAAGGAUUUAUUGUACGCAGUUUGUAUUUAAUAAAAUAUUUUAUCCGGUCGAUUUUAAUAAACUAGGUACAUACUAAAGAGGAAUAUGAUUAUUUUUCUACUUUUUUUAUAUUUUUAUUUUUGAAAUAUAAUAUUCAUUCUUAUUCAAAUUACUUAUAUUAGCUUUUUUUUUACAUAAAUAUGUGUUUGGGCUGGAUACACAACAAAAUGUUAAGAAAUGAUUUAAAAAAAAUACAAGUCACAAGUGGUAGGUAAUGUAACAUUAAUUUGAACUCUAUAAUGUAUGCCUAAUAUAUUUUUAGACAACAAAAUGAAGUUCAAAUUCGGAUUACUGUAUUGAGACAGACAUUGAAUAAUUGCAUGUUGAUCAGUUUCUAAAGAGUCUUAACGUACUAAUAUUUUCCUUAUAAAUCUCCAGUUGUGAAGUGCAGUUCUUAGCCCUAAUACUAAACUCAAUAAAUGUAUUGUAUAUAUUGGACAUUAAUGUUAUGGAAUACCUUUAAAUGCCAACAUGUUCCCAUACAUUUCAAAUAAAAAACAGCGUGACCGUUUACUUUGGAGUUUUGGACUACUAAAUAAACCUUAAGCAGUCUAUAGUCAAUAUGAGUAUUUGACUAGACUGUCAUUCGGACGAUGUUAUACGAACCCCGCACCGCCGCCUCUGUGAAUGAUACACGUCGCGCGUAAUGCGCUGUGGCGGCGACCAACCAAAUUAUGCUCUUCGCCAUGAACAAUAAAUUAGAGCUUAUCCAGAUUCAGAAUAUUAUAUUUUGUAUAUUUCUGUACGUUUAGCCGUUCUCAAACAUACAGGGAGACAACCACACAAGAUACGAAGUUAAAUAAAAACCUUGAAAUACUAUAUACAACUGUAGGUACAACUGGUACAAGUCAAAAGAUAUAACUUAAUGUUGGUAGGUAUUCAUUGCAUUAAGUUUAUUGUUGUAUUAUUGUGGUCGAAAUAAUGAAAAAUAUUUUUGUAAAAAUCCGAAGUCAACAAAAUGAUUAUUUAUCGAGAGUUGGUGAAUAGCCACAUGACGUCAUAGAGCCCGCCGACAAGUGAGCAGCCGCCCAUGUUUUACGUGUAAAAGUAGUUUGAUUUACAUAAUGAUUUUAAUAACUUACGAUAUAUAUAUUUUAUAUAUUAUAUAUAUAUAUGUAACUAUAGAUACAAAAAAAUCGGACUUAAAAGUACUUGAAAAUUUUUGGUUGUUUUAAAGCCCGAUAGAUAACCAAUCUGCUUGCGAGUUCCCAUCUGCACAAUAUUUCUCCCUAUAUUUCUGAUCGAUUAAUAUCUUAUAUUAUUAUAUUUAUUUAAAUUUUGUAUCUAUAUAAUCGCCAAAAAGCAUAUAUUUAUUACUAAAACAAUAUUAUAUAAAGAUUGUACCUAAACAUUAAUACAUUAUUUUAUUAAUAUCAACUUAAAUAAAUUUAACACAAAAUAAUUCUAUCUGAUGAUUAUUAAUACCCGGAUUUAUACUAUUGAGCUCGUACCUGCCUACUAAUUUCGGCACUCAAAUGUUAAUAACGUUUUAUAACGAUCGUUUUAUGUGGAAAUAUUACACCACUUCGAGAAAAGAUGAUUUUAUUAAAGAAAGAUUUCCGAAAGUUUACAAAUAUUAUGCUCUUAUAUGACGUUCUGUCUAAUUUAUUGAUGAUAGUCAGCACUGUACUGCUCGUCUAGCAGGGGACACAGAUUCUGCCUGUAUAUAGACCAAAAGGGUUGUGUCAGCACAUUCCCAUCCUCGCUGGGUGAUCAGUUCAUUGAGUUUUUGUGCAUGAUGAAAUAUUAUAUUAUAAUAAAUAACGCUUAAUAGGUAUACUACAUUAAACAUAUUAUUAUAACAUAACAUUACUACAGUAUUACAUGAUUAGCAGUGGUUUCUAACAAUACCUACUGUUCACGCCGAAACAAUUAGUUUAUCGCGGGACACGACUCAGCGUGACUGCGACAUCUCCCUCCUUGUCCAUACUCCAUUCCGUCAUUUAAUUAUUUAAAUUAUUAUGAUUGUUAUGUGUAUUUAUUAUCUUUGCUUUCGCUUUCUGUGUGAAUAAUUAUUGGUCAACGUUUGCCUCAUAUUAUUAUCAUUUAUUCGUAUCAUUAUUAUUAUGUUAAGAUUUGUAUUUCUUACUUUUUGCGGCCAACGCCCUUGUUGUUAUAAAUUAUUAUUGCUGUUAACUCAUAUUAUAUAUAUUCUCGUUUCAGCUAUUGCAGCGCACACCUUUUUUACGUCUGUUACGUUUUUGGUUUAGUAUCCUUUUGGUACACACACAAAGUUAUGUGGUUAUUAAUAUUAUUGUAAAACCUGUACCGUGUGGUUCAUGUAACUAGACAUUUAUUAUUUUUUUGUAUUGUCAUUGUGACAAGAACUCACGUCGUUAAUGAAUCGACAUCACGGAUCGUUGCGUAAGUCCGCCAGCAACGGGUACGUUGUGUGAGGGGCCGUCUAGGACAUCGAGACCAGCGUCAUCCUGGAAUUUCCGUCAACUCAUGACACCAGCUGUAUAAUAUAUGUAUUAUGUAUAUAUAUAUACCUAGUACAUUAAGUUAGUCAUUAAGCUACCCAACUAUUAUAAUUGUACCAGUUGGUCAUUGCAUCAAACCAGAUCGACCACAGCCCCCCCCCCCCGUCCCCAUAAUUAACUUGCAUUGUCCUGAUUACCAUGUACUUCACCUCCCAUCCUUGCCAUAGUGUCGUCGUCGCAUGAGGUGUUUAGAUUAUACUUUAUAUGUUAGGUUUUGUUGUGACUUCCUGUCGGGUUUGGUCAAGAGCUUAAGGCAGACCUUUUUCUCGUCGCUGGUCACGGGGUUACACAGUGAAGUUCUUAUAUAAUUAUAUCUAAUCUACAGUCCACUUUCCUAUAUUAUGUUUUGAGCACUGCGUGUAUGCUGGCAGUCCUGUAAAGUAUUUAAAUAAAAGU
Acyrthosiphon pisum (pea aphid) is the source of this 3864-nucleotide long non-coding RNA. RefSeq lists it as uncharacterized. The record is from RefSeq and is a predicted model, not a curated record. The transcript has 5 exons. Lineage: Eukaryota; Metazoa; Arthropoda; Insecta; Hemiptera; Aphididae.